Molecule: ribosomal RNA, 214 nt
Filed under: uncultured bacterium
Lineage: Bacteria
Description: partial 16S ribosomal RNA
Rfam family: Bacterial small subunit ribosomal RNA
Source: RNAcentral
UACGAAGGGGGCUAGCGUUGCUCGGAAUUACUGGGCGUAAAGCGCACGUAGGCGGCUUUCUAAGUCGGGGGUGAAAUCCUGGAGCUCAACUCCAGAACUGCCUUCGAUACUGGAGAGCUUGAGUCCGGGAGAGGUGAGUGGAACUGCGAGUGUAGAGGUGAAAUUCGUAGAAUUAUUCGCAAGAAACACCAGUGGCGAAAGGCGGCCUGCGCUG